Molecule: ribosomal RNA, 484 nt
Filed under: uncultured bacterium
Lineage: Bacteria
Description: partial 16S ribosomal RNA
Rfam family: Bacterial small subunit ribosomal RNA
Source: RNAcentral
GACGAACGCUGGCGGCGUGCUUAACACAUGCAAGUCGAACGAUGAAGCUGGAGCUUGCUCUGGCGGAUUAGUGGCGAACGGGUGAGUAACACGUGAGAAAUCUGCCCUUGACUCUGGGAUAACUGCGGGAAACUGUAGCUAAUACCGGAUACUUUCCCUGGUGGGCAUCCACUGGGGAAGAAAGAAUUUCGGUCAAGGAUGAUCUCGCGGCCUAUCAGCUUGUUGGUGAGGUAAUGGCUCACCAAGGCGACGACGGGUAGCCGGCCUGAGAGGGCGACCGGCCACACUGGGACUGAGACACGGCCCAGACUCCUACGGGAGGCAGCAGUGGGGAAUAUUGCACAAUGGGCGCAAGCCUGAUGCAGCGACGCCGCGUGAGGGAUGAAGGUCUUCGGAUUGUAAACCUCUUUCAGUAGGGACGAAGCGAAAGUGACGGUACCUAAAGAAGAAGCACCGGCUAACUACGUGCCAGCCGCCGCAGUAA